RNAcentral lists this ribosomal RNA (235 nucleotides) under uncultured bacterium. RNAcentral describes it as "partial 16S ribosomal RNA". It matches the Rfam family "Bacterial small subunit ribosomal RNA", at positions 99 to 334 of the family's 1533-position model. The record is from RNAcentral.
CGGACGGGUGAGUAACGCGUGGGUAACCUGCCUCAUACAGGGGGAUAACGAUUGGAAACGAUUGCUAAUACCGCAUAAGCGCACAGUACCACAUGGUACAGUGUGAAAAACUCCGGUGGUAUGAGAUGGACCCGCGUCUGAUUAGCUAGUUGGUGAGGUAACGGCCCACCAAGGCAACGAUCAGUAGCCGACCUGAGAGGGUGACCGGCCACAUUGGGACUGAGACACGGCCCAA